GAGUUAGCGACAGGGAGGGAUGCGCGCCUGGGUGUAGUUGUGGGGGAGGAAGUGGCUAGCUCAGGGCUUCAGGGGACAGACAGGGAGAGAUGACUGAGUUAGAUGAGACGAGGGGGCGGGCUGGGGGUGCGAGAAGGAAGCUUGGCAAGGAGACUAGGUCUAGGGGGACCACAGUGGGGCAGGCUGCAUGGAAAAUAUCCGCAGGGUCCCCCAGGCAGAACAGCCACGCUCCAGGCCAGGCUGUCCCUACUGCCUGGUGGAGGGGGAACUUGACCUCUGGGAGGGCGCCGCUCUUGCAUAGCUGAGCGAGCCCGGGUGCGCUGGUCUGUGUGGAAGGAGGAAGGCAGGGAGAGGUAGAAGGGGUGGAGGAGUCAGGAGGAAUAGGCCGCAGCAGCCCUGGAAAUGAUCAGGAAGGCAGGCAACCAAGGGCUGUGAACCCGCCUGGGGAUGAGGCCUGGUCUUGUGGAACUGAACUUAGCUCGACGGGGCUGACCGCUCUGGCCCAGGGUGGUGGCAGUGCUCCUUUUGGACUUUUCUCUAGGUUUGGCGCUAAACUCUUCUUGUGAGCUCACUCCACCCCUUCUUCCUCCCUUUAACUUAUCCAUUCACUUAAAACAUUACCUGGUCAUCUGGUAAGCCCGGGACAGUAAGCCGAGUGGCUGUUGGAGUCGGUAUUGUUGGUAAUGGUGGAGGAAGAGAGGCCUUCCCGCUGAGGCUGGGGUGGGGCGGAUCGGUGUUGCUUGCCUGCAGAGAGGGUGGGGAGUGAAUGUGCACCCUUGGGUGGGCCUGCAGCCAUCCAGCUGAAAGUUACAAAAAUGCUUCAUGGACCGUGGUUUGUUACUAUAGUGUUCCUCAUGGCGAGCAGAUGGAACCGGGAGACAUGGAGUCCCUGGCCAGUGUGAGUCCUAGCAUUGCAGGAGGGGAGACCCUGGAGGAGAGAGCCCGCCUCAAUUGAUGCCUGCAGAUUGAAUUUCCAGAGGCUUAGGAGGAGGAAGUUCUCCAAUGUUCUGUUUCCAGGCCUUGCUCAGGAAGCCCUGUAUUCAGGAGGCUACCAUUUAAAGUUUGCAGAUGAGCUUAUGGGGGGCAAUCUUAAAAAGUCCACAGCAGAUGCAUCCGGCUCGAGGGGCCAUCAGCUUUGAAUAAAUGCUUGUUCCAGAGCCCAUGAAUGCCAGCAGGCACCCCUCCUUUCCUGGGGUAAAGGUUUUCAGAUGCUGCAUCUUCUAAAUUGAGCCUCCGGUCAUACUAGUUUUGUGCUUGGAACCUUGCUUCAAGAAGAUCCCUAAGCUGUAGAACAUUUUAACGUUGAUGCCACAACGCAGAUUGAUGCCUUGUAGAUGGAGCUUGCAGAUGGAGCCCCGUGACCUCUCACCUACCCACCUGUUUGCCUGCCUUCUUGUGCGUUUCUCGGAGAAGUUCUUAGCCUGAUGAAAUAACUUGGGGCGUUGAAGAGCUGUUUAAUUUUAAAUGCCUUAGACUGGGGAUAUAUUAGAGGAAGCAGAUUGUCAAAUUAAGGGUGUCAUUGUGUUGUGCUAAACGCUGGGAGGGUACAAGUUGGUCAUUCCUAAAUCUGUGUGUGAGAAAUGGCAGGUCUAGUUUGGGCAUUGUGAUUGCAUUGCAGAUUACUAGGAGAAGGGAAUGGUGGGUACACCGGUAGUGCUCUUUUGUUCUUGCUUCGUUUUUUUAAACUUGAACUUUACUUCGUUAGAUUUCAUAAUACUUUCUUGGCAUUCUAGUAAGAGGACCCUGAGGUGGGAGUUGUGGGGGACGGGGAGAAGGGGACAGCUUGGCACCGGUCCCGUGGGCGUUGCAGUGUGGGGGAUGGGGGUAUGCAGCUUGGCACUGGUACUGGGAGGGAUGAGGGUGAAGAAGGGGAGAGGGUUGGUUAGAGAUACAGUGUGGGUGGUGGGGGUGGUAGGAAAUGCAGGUUGAAGGGAAUUCUCUGGGGCUUUGGGGAAUUUAGUGCGUGGGUGAGCCAAGAAAAUACUAAUUAAUAAUAGUAAGUUGUUAGUGUUGGUUAAGUUGUUGCUUGGAAGUGAGAAGUUGCUUAGAAACUUUCCAAAGUGCUUAGAACUUUAAGUGCAAACAGACAAACUAACAAACAAAAAUUGUUUUGCUUUGCUACAAGGUGGGGAAGACUGAAGAAGUGUUAACUGAAAACAGGUGACACAGAGUCACCAGUUUUCCGAGAACCAAAGGGAGGGGUGUGUGAUGCCAUCUCACAGGCAGGGGAAAUGUCUUUACCAGCUUCCUCCUGGUGGCCAAGACAGCCUGUUUCAGAGGGUUGUUUUGUUUGGGGUGUGGGUGUUAUCAAGUGAAUUAGUCACUUGAAAGAUGGGCGUCAGACUUGCAUACGCAGCAGAUCAGCAUCCUUCGCUGCCCCUUAGCAACUUAGGUGGUUGAUUUGAAACUGUGAAGGUGUGAUUUUUUCAGGAGCUGGAAGUCUUAGAAAAGCCUUGUAAAUGCCUAUAUUGUGGGCUUUUAACGUAUUUAAGGGACCACUUAAGACGAGAUUAGAUGGGCUCUUCUGGAUUUGUUCCUCAUUUGUCACAGGUGUCUUGUGAUUGAAAAUCAUGAGCGAAGUGAAAUUGCAUUGAAUUUCAAGGGAAUUUAGUAUGUAAAUCGUGCCUUAGAAACACAUCUGUUGUCUUUUCUGUGUUUGGUCGAUAUUAAUAAUGGCAAAAUUUUUGCCUAUCUAGUAUCUUCAAAUUGUAGUCUUUGUAACAACCAAAUAACCUUUUGUGGUCACUGUAAAAUUAAUAUUUGGUAGACAGAAUCCAUGUACCUUUGCUAAGGUUAGAAUGAAUAAUUUAUUGUAUUUUUAAUUUGAAUGUUUGUGCUUUUUAAAUGAGCCAAGACUAGAGGGGAAACUAUCACCUAAAAUCAGUUUGGAAAACAAGACCUAAAAAGGGAAGGGGAUGGGGAUUGUGGGGAGAGAGUGGGCGAGGUGCCUUUACUACAUGUGUGAUCUGAAAACCCUGCUUGGUUCUGAGCUGCGUCUAUUGAAUUGGUAAAGUAAUACCAAUGGCUUUUUAUCAUUUCCUUCUUCCCUUUAAGUUUCACUUGAAAUUUUAAAAAUCAUGGUUAUUUUUAUCGUUGGGAUCUUUCUGUCUUCUGGGUUCCAUUUUUUAAAUGUUUAAAAAUAUGUUGACAUGGUAGUUCAGUUCUUAACCAAUGACUUGGGGAUGAUGCAAACAAUUACUGUCGUUGGGAUUUAGAGUGUAUUAGUCACGCAUGUAUGGGGAAGUAGUCUCGGGUAUGCUGUUGUGAAAUUGAAACUGUAAAAGUAGAUGGUUGAAAGUACUGGUAUGUUGCUCUGUAUGGUAAGAACUAAUUCUGUUACGUCAUGUACAUAAUUACUAAUCACUUUUCUUCCCCUUUACAGCACAAAUAAAGUUUGAGUUCUAAACUCAUUAGA
RNAcentral lists this long non-coding RNA (3415 nucleotides) under Homo sapiens (human). RNAcentral's name for it is "HSALNT0363287". The stretch from base 844 to 1002 matches the Rfam family "Nuclear enriched abundant transcript 1 conserved region 3". The record is from RNAcentral. Lineage: Eukaryota; Metazoa; Chordata; Mammalia; Primates; Hominidae.